AAAGAGUCAUCUUUGUAAUUUCUUAAUAAAAGUUGUUUUUCCAAGGGUUUAUCUCUUCCUUUUUUUCCUGGCUUUUUCAACAUAAACAAGAAUGAAAAUUUAAGCCCUAUCUAAUAAUUAUUUUAACUAAGAAUUCAAAUGUUAAAUAAGAAAAGUGAAAACAAGCCUACCAAAAUGUAUAGGCUUUUAGGACCUAAACUUAGUUUAGCCUAAAUGUUGCUACCAACCUCUUUCUUUUUCUACUUGAAGUCUCCAUCAAAACAUAAACUACAAAUAGAAUUUCCUGAACGUUUCAACAGUAAAAUAAUCGACCUGAGUGAAGCUGAGUUGCAAAACCUUAGGGCAAGCAUUCAGAAACUGCAGCUUCAGAAUUGGCAUCUUGCUCAAUCAAACAGUCGCUUUUUAGCAGAAAUCAAUUUGGGG
Molecule: unclassified non-coding RNA, 423 nt
Filed under: Hevea brasiliensis (rubber tree)
Lineage: Eukaryota; Viridiplantae; Streptophyta; Magnoliopsida; Malpighiales; Euphorbiaceae
Source: RNAcentral